UAUCUUUUAAAAAAAAGCUUCAAAAUUCAAGGAUGAUCCUCACUACCAAAGACCUGGAAUAACACCAUGUAACGAAAUGAUGGGAAAUCUUAAAAAUAAAUAAAUAAAGAAGAAGAAGAUUAGGCAUACAAUGUACAAAAGUUCUCAUCUUUAUCUCUAAAGAUUGGGGUCGUAACCAUCCAACCAUAAAUCAUAAAUUCAAAGAACAGUCACAGCUCAUACUCCACAAGCAACGAUUGAUCAAAUUCAAUACUGGAAAAGACAAUCAUUUCUUCAUGCCAAACAUUGUUCAAAGAAGAGGACCAGACAAUAGUUAUUUUCAUAUAGGAGUCAUCACAAAGAUUACAAUAAAUAUUGUCCAAAACAAAAUUUAAGCAGAUAAAUUUAUCCCAUCUUAUAGCACAAGCUUUAGAUAAGUUGACUUGUAUUACAGAGGAAGCAAAACAAUCCUGAAUUUUAGAUCUCAAUGUGACCUAUUUUAUGAAAAUUGGGCACCUGUGAGGCGUUUGAUGAAAAGAUGAAUCGUCUAUAUGUGCUAGAUCGUGUUAAAUAUAACGUUGAAGUAACAAACCUGUUUGUGGCAUUUUAAGCUUUUAGAUGUGAUGACUCAAUAUAUCCUCCAUUUCAUUGUAAAAUUGUAGCAGCACAUACAUUGACAAAAUUGAAUAAAUGAGAAAUCCCAGUUUCACGAGGCAUCCUGGUAACUUUUGUGAAUGGCGAAAAAUCUACAUUUUUGCCACUAGUAAGAAGAUACUGAACUUACAGGGGCGUGAAUAUGUCCAAAGUAUUCAAUUGCUUAAUAAAGUUUAAAAAGCUUCACGUUUUAUAAAGCGCAUUUUGGUGUUCAAGCUACAACUUUAGUGGCACUUGAAUCUUAGGACUCGGGUCGUCAAACUUAGUGUUAGAAAUGCUUAACACAUGGAAUGAAGCAAUUUCCUAAUGAACUUUAUUGUAGUAAAAAUAAGUUUCUCGAUUUGCAAUUGUGGUAUGAAUAGAGUUCACCUUUACAUGCUAUAACAAGUGGCGAGGAACUCUACUCUGACAGUUAAGUUAGUAAAUCGAUUAUGAAGAUUCUGUUAAAAGCAUCUGGACUUGGACAUUGCAUUAAAGAGGUCAUCAUCACUUUUCUCCAAGACUGAAUCCCUAACGACAUUGGCAAGUCAAUUUCCUCUUCUACGCUUGUCCAACGAAGCCAAAAAAGGGGUGUUGAUCCUUGAACAACUAAAACAUAAUUUGACUCUAUCACCUCAAGAAGGGCCUCUUUUGAUAUAGUGACUAGUACUCCAGUAGACUAUUUCUAUGUCAUCGUUGCUUGCUUAUUGGGGGAUAUUGAGCAUUCUAGCACUGACUUUGCUUCGACUCUCUCUCUCUCUCUCUUUCUCUCUUUGCAUUUUUGGACGAUUCAAAGGGCUUAUGGAAGUACUAUUCAAGAUGCUUGGCUCAUAUGAGUUGUUCCACCACAUCCUUCAUAUGGACAGUUAUCUUGGCAACGUUCAUAUCCUUUAUGAAAACAAAAAUAAUAUCAUGUUCCUAACUGCCUGUCCUUAAGAAGUCUUGGCCUAACUGUCCAAGGGAUUAUAUCUUUCUUCUCUAUGAGCAAAACUUUGAUGAAAUCCACUAACUUUGAGGUUAGCCAUUGGUCUCUUUCCAUGGCUCUUUGGAAGUUCUGUUUUCCCUUUCUUCCUACAGCCUUUUCAACCUCUUUUUUCUCACCUUCUUGCCUCUUCUACAUUGAUAUACAUUUUUGCCCUAGAAAGUGGCUUAAUAAGGUCUUCAGGGGUGAUUCAGUGAGCGGAUAAAUUUUUUUCCUGCUUUUUCAGCCCUCCAGAGACUGAUAUUCUAUCAUUAUAUAUGCAACAAGUAGAUUUUGGUGCUUAAGUCACUAAAUGGAGUACAAAAUAGAUCGUUUAAGUAUCCAGAUUAAGAAUUGUGUACAAGUAAAAAGUUUCAGCAUGUUGCAUUAAAGGGGUUAGAGUCCUCAAUUUACAGAUUUCUCUUCCAUCUAGGGUCCAUUUUCUAAUAAGAUGACAAUUAAUAAACUAUUCAGUAUUUGAUUAGGAGGUUAGGCAAUUUGAGUAAAGAGCAUUGUUUAGCUAAGCUUAAAAAGUUCACCUAUAAAAAAAGUAAAUAUGAAAACAAAUAAUUCUUUAUUAGUGAAAUUAAGUUACUUGUUUCAAAAGUAACACACUUGUUACUUUAGAAGUAACUUUGUUAACGUAAAAGCAAGAAAAUAGUAAGUUAAGCAAACAUGUUUUGAGACAAAAGGUUACUUAAAAAUUACUUUACUUUUCUUUUUAUCUUAGCCAAACAUGCUCUCAGCCUUGUAUACUCCUACUUCGUUGUGUUCCUUGAAUGGAUUAAGGGGCCAGAGGAGUGGGCUGGGCAUGGGCGGCAUCUCAAGAAAUGUCAUAAAUUGAUUCUUAAGAUUCAUGGACAUACUAAUAGUAUAGGCUUAGAACCAAGUGAUUAUAUGUAUGGGUGAUGGAUUACGUCCAUAAAAAAAUUUAUUAAUUAAAGACUGUAUCCCAAAGAAUGUCAAUAACUACAAAAGUGCAAACACCAUUCUAGUUUUUCAAUACAUUAUUACAAGCAUUUGGAUAGGAAUAUCUUAAAAUCAACUUGUAAUAAGGAAAUGAUGUGCAAUGUGCUUAUAAAGCCACAAGGUGGAUGUUCCACGAGCACUGUGGGAUUCAGAAGUGUUCCUUCUUAUUUACACCUCUUCCACAACAUCCCAUUUUUCUAUCUCAGAGAACUCCACAGAACUAGUGUAUUAUUGAAAGUAGGUCUCUCUCAGUCACAUCAUCCGCUACAUGUGUUUCUCAGAAAAGGGUUUCAUGCUCUGGUACCACAAUUAGAAGCACUUGUCCACGAGUGAUAUGUGAUCCAUAUUUAAUCGUUUCACCCAUAUAUUCAAAAUAAUUCAAGUGUGAAGGAUGCCAAUUUUACAACAUAAGCCUAUUUAACACAAGAACAUCACAUAACUAAUGCACCCAUGUGUACAAUAGCUAAUUUAGUGUAAGAAUCUCCAAUAUUGACGAACCAACAUAAGCAAACACAACGACAGACAAACACAUAUGCAUGUAACUUUGUAUGUAAAAUCACGUUUGUAUAUGCAUGUAGGGCUUACCAGGAGGAAAUAGCAGGUUUGGGAGAAAAUACAGUAAGGGCGAGGCACUUGUGUUGGGAUCGGAUCUGGUUAUCUCUGAGUUGCUCUACGAGUUUCGACCGGGUUAUCAUGUUCUUCUCUCAAUACGGAUUGGAAUCCUGUCCAAACUUUUAAUGCCACCACGAUUCGUAGGUCAAUUCCAAAUUGAACUGUGCUUAAUGUGGAAUAGAUAUUCGAAUUCCAGCUUCAAUUUGGCGAGUUUAUUUCGAAUUGAAUUGAGGGUUCACGGAAAAAGACUAUUGAGAUCAAUGAAAAUGCAUUGCCCAGGCUGUUGAAAUCACUACGCUGAAAUUGAAAGAGGGUAAAUCGGUUUAUAUAUAUAUAUNAGAUCAAUGAAAAUGCAUUGCCCAGGCUGUUGAAAUCACUACGCUGAAAUUGAAAGAGGGUAAAU
This 3557-nucleotide long non-coding RNA is filed under the name Olea europaea (common olive). RNAcentral's name for it is "long non-coding RNA (OEUR_LNC007117)". The record is from RNAcentral. Lineage: Eukaryota; Viridiplantae; Streptophyta; Magnoliopsida; Lamiales; Oleaceae.